RNAcentral lists this ribosomal RNA (441 nucleotides) under uncultured bacterium. Its description in RNAcentral is "partial 16S ribosomal RNA". It matches the Rfam family "Bacterial small subunit ribosomal RNA", at positions 338 to 795 of the family's 1533-position model. The record is from RNAcentral.
CCUACGGGAGGCAGCAGUGAGGAAUAUUGGUCAAUGGGCUUACGCCUGAACCAGCCAAGUCGCGUGAAGGAUGAAGGUUUUCGGAUUGUAAACUUCUGUCGCGAGGGAUGAAGAAUGACGGUACCUCGUAAGAAAGCCCCGGCAAACUACGUGCCAGCAGCCGCGGUAAUACGUAGGGGGCGAGCGUUGUCCGGAAUGACUGGGCGUAAAGGGAGUGUAGGCGGCAUAUUAAGUUAUGUGUGAAAGCCCGCGGCUCAACCGCGGAAUUGCACAUAAAACUGGUAAGCUGGAGUGCAGGAGAGGUAAGUGGAAUUCCCGGUGUAGCGGUGGAAUGCGUAGAUAUCGGGAGGAACACCAGAGGCGAAGGCGACUUACUGGACUGUAACUGACGCUGAGGCUCGAAAGCGUGGGGAGCAAACAGGAUUAGAUACCCGGGUAGUC